AUUUUGGAUGGUGAACCCUGAAGUCGGUGUCUGCUGUGUUCACGGCAGGAUUCGGUUAGCUAAUGCACAAGCUGAGUGUGGAAGCCCCACCCAAAAUCCUGGUGGAGAGAUACCUGAUUGAAAUUGCGAAGAAUUACAAUGUACCCUAUGAACCUGACUCUGUGGUCAUGGCAGAAGCUCCUCCUGGGGUAGAGACAGAUCUUAUUGAUGUUGGAUUCACAGAUGAUGUGAAGAAAGGAGGCCCUGGAAGAGGAGGGGGUGGUGGCUUCACAGCACCAGUUGGUGGACCUGAGGGAACGGUGCCAAUGCCCAUGCCCAUGCCUAUGCCAUCUGCAAAUACGCCUUUCUCAUAUCCACUGCCAAAGGGACCAUCAGAUUUCAAUGGACUGCCAAUGGGGACUUAUCAGGCCUUUCCCAUUAUUCAUCCACCUCAGAUACCAGCAACUCCCCCAUCGUAUGAAUCUGUAGAUGACAUUAAUGCUGAUAAGAAUAUCUCUUCUGCACAGAUUGUUGGUCCUGGACCCAAGCCAGAAGCCUCUGCAAAGCUUCCUUCCAGACCUGCGGAUAACUAUGACAACUUUGUCCUACCAGAGUUGCCAUCUGUGCCAGACACACUACCAACUGCAUCUGCUGGUGCCAGCACCUCAGCAUCUGAAGACAUUGACUUUGAUGAUCUUUCCCGGAGAUUUGAAGAGCUGAAAAAGAAAACAUAGGUCUCUUAAACCAGGCAACUUUCAUGUUCUGGGAGUUGAGACUGAGCAAUUUCUCCUUGUAACAAAGAAUCUCCAUGAAAUUCUGUUUCAUCUGUUAACCGUCACUCAGCACAACACUCCUCCUCUGGGCUCUCUUCCUGCUCCUCCAGAUUCUGCUGCUUUCUAGUUCUCUGUUGAUCCUAACAACUGGAGACUGAGGCCGGAGCAUCUGGCUCCUGGCAGCUGUGCUUGUCCGUUUCCUGUCAGUGAUCCCAGGUUUCCUCCUGGCCCGUCCCAUGGUCCCUCCACAGGAGUGUGGGAGGAUGGGGAAGCACUGUGGGGAGACCACCAAAGAUGGCUGGACAGUGGGAGAGAGCACGUCGUGAAGCAUCCCAGCCUCGUGUUGAGGUUCCAGACUUAGAAACAAACAAACACCUCUGUACAGGGGGAUUGUGGUGAGUGAGAAUCAAGGCCACGGUGUGUGUUUUCUCACUCGAGAGAAAAUGACUCAGGACACCAUUGUAACAG
This 1220-nucleotide small RNA is filed under the name Pongo abelii (Sumatran orangutan). RNAcentral describes it as "processed transcript". The record is from RNAcentral. Lineage: Eukaryota; Metazoa; Chordata; Mammalia; Primates; Hominidae.